Leucoraja erinaceus (little skate) is the source of this 704-nucleotide long non-coding RNA. RefSeq lists it as uncharacterized. Lineage: Eukaryota; Metazoa; Chordata; Chondrichthyes; Rajiformes; Rajidae. The transcript has 3 exons. The record is from RefSeq and is a predicted model, not a curated record.
UCCAUUCGCAACUUUUCUUUGGAUGCCGAUUCUGGGUACCUCAAUGUCAUGCUUCACUUGCAGCUUGUUCACUAUCAAAGCAGCACAACUGUCAUUAUCUUCCAGCAGGCUCCAGGCUCCAACUCCAGCCUGCAUCGCCUGCCCGAGUCCCGCGACGCCAUCUUGGCCACGAGGAGCGACUUCAAUACUCACCAGGACGCCGCCUUCACCGACCUCCACGUCGAUGCCACCGCCGACCCUCACCUGCCUACCGAUGACGCCCAGCCUCGCCGCUUCUACGGUGCACUGCAAGAUAAGGCAGAGUUAGAGGAUGCCGGGGAGUAAAAUAAGAUUCAUGUAAAUGGAAGGUUGAUGGCUGGUCCAGUCCAUCAUAUGCGGGCGUGGCGUCGAAGGAUGAGAAGCCGAAGCAAACAAGUCGAAGCCAUAUAGCCGAAUGGAAACAAAGUCGAAACGCCAAAUAACUGAAAGCAUACGAAGCCGAAAUGCCAACGAACCAAACGGGCGGGAUGCCGAAAAGCCACUUAACCGAAAGGCUGCAUCGCCUACAAGCCAACUAACCGAAUGCUGCUCUGCCGUAAAGACAAAUAACGGUCUGGAACAAUCGUUUACAAGUCCCACCCCCCAGCGACGUCAUGUCCAUUAUUUGACUUUUUGGCAGAGUGGCAUUCGAUUAGUUGGCUUGUAGGUGACGCAGCCUUUUGGUU